UGCAGUCGAGCGGUAGCACAGAGAGCUUGCUCUCGGGUGACGAGCGGCGGACGGGUGAGUAAUGUCUGGGAAACUGCCUGAUGGAGGGGGAUAACUACUGGAAACGGUAGCUAAUACCGCAUAACGUCGCAAGACCAAAGUGGGGGACCUUCGGGCCUCAUGCCAUCAGAUGUGCCCAGAUGGGAUUAGCUAGUAGGUGGGGUAACGGCUCACCUAGGCGACGAUCCCUAGCUGGUCUGAGAGGAUGACCAGCCACACUGGAACUGAGACACGGUCCAGACUCCUACGGGAGGCAGCAGUGGGGAAUAUUGCACAAUGGGCGCAAGCCUGAUGCAGCCAUGCCGCGUGUGUGAAGAAGGCCUUCGGGUUGUAAAGCACUUUCAGCGGGGAGGAAGGCGGUGAGGUUAAUAACCUCAUCGAUUGACGUUACCCGCAGAAGAAGCACCGGCUAACUCCGUGCCAGCAGCCGCGGUAAUACGGAGGGUGCAAGCGUUAAUCGGAAUUACUGGGCGUAAAGCGCACGCAGGCGGUCUGUCAAGUCGGAUGUGAAAUCCCCGGGCUCAACCUGGGAACUGCAUUCGAAACUGGCAGGCUAGAGUCUUGUAGAGGGGGGUAGAAUUCCAGGUGUAGCGGUGAAAUGCGUAGAGAUCUGGAGGAAUACCGGUGGCGAAGGCGGCCCCCUGGACAAAGACUGACGCUCAGGUGCGAAAGCGUGGGGAGCAAACAGGAUUAGAUACCCUGGUAGUCCACGCUGUAAACGAUGUCGAUUUGGAGGUUGUGCCCUUGAGGCGUGGCUUCCGGAGCUAACGCGUUAAAUCGACCGCCUGGGGAGUACGGCCGCAAGGUUAAAACUCAAAUGAAUUGACGGGGGCCCGCACAAGCGGUGGAGCAUGUGGUUUAAUUCGAUGCAACGCGAAGAACCUUACCUGGUCUUGACAUCCACAGAACUUUCCAGAGAUGGAUUGGUGCCUUCGGGAACUGUGAGACAGGUGCUGCAUGGCUGUCGUCAGCUCGUGUUGUGAAAUGUUGGGUUAAGUCCCGCAACGAGCGCAACCCUUAUCCUUUGUUGCCAGCGGUUAGGCCGGGAACUCAAAGGAGACUGCCAGUGAUAAACUGGAGGAAGGUGGGGAUGACGUCAAGUCAUCAUGGCCCUUACGACCAGGGCUACACACGUGCUACAAUGGCAUAUACAAAGAGAAGCGACCUCGCGAGAGCAAGCGGACCUCAUAAAGUAUGUCGUAGUCCGGAUUGGAGUCUGCAACUCGACUCCAUGAAGUCGGAAUCGCUAGUAAUCGUAGAUCAGAAUGCUACGGUGAAUACGUUCCCGGGCCUUGUACACACCGCCCGUCACACCAUGGGAGUGGGUUGCAAAAGAAGUAGGUAGCUUAACCUUCGGGAGGGCG
Molecule: ribosomal RNA, 1403 nt
Filed under: Klebsiella variicola
Lineage: Bacteria; Pseudomonadati; Pseudomonadota; Gammaproteobacteria; Enterobacterales; Enterobacteriaceae
Description: bacterial SSU rRNA
Rfam family: Bacterial small subunit ribosomal RNA
Source: RNAcentral